This 232-nucleotide ribosomal RNA is filed under the name uncultured bacterium. RNAcentral describes it as "partial 16S ribosomal RNA". It matches the Rfam family "Bacterial small subunit ribosomal RNA", at positions 118 to 351 of the family's 1533-position model. The record is from RNAcentral.
UGAGCAAUCUGCCCUUCUCUUCGGAAUAAGCGUUGGAAACGACGUCUAAUGCCGAAUACGACCUCCUUUCGCAUGAUCGGAGGUGGAAAGCUCCGGCGGAGAAGGAUGAGCUCGCGGCCUAUCAGCUAGUUGGUGUGGGUAAUGGCCCACAAGGCGACGACGGGUAGCCGGCCUGAGAGGGUGACCGGCCACACUGGGACUGAGACACGGCCCAGACUCCUACGGGAGGNAG